CGGAGGGUGCAAGCGUUAUCCGGAUUCACUGGGUUUAAAGGGUGUGUAGGCGGGCAGUUAAGUCAGUGGUGAAAUCUCCAGGCUCAACCUGGAAACUGCCAUUGAUACUAUCUGUCUUGAAUUCUGUUGAGGUGGGCGGAAUACAUCAUGUAGCGGUGAAAUGCUUAGAUAUGAUGUAGAACACCGAUUGCGAAGGCAGCUCACUAAGCAGCGAUUGACGCUGAGGCACGAAAGCGUGGGGAUCAAACAGGAUUAGAUACCCUGGUAGUCCACGCCCUAAACGAUGAUUACUCGACAUACGCGAUACACAGUGUGUGUCUGAGCGAAAGCAUUAAGUAAUCCACCUGGGAAGUACGACCGCAAGGUUG
Molecule: ribosomal RNA, 368 nt
Filed under: uncultured organism
Description: bacterial SSU rRNA
Rfam family: Bacterial small subunit ribosomal RNA
Source: RNAcentral